AGAACGCGACGGGCGGUACAGCGUGUGGGGCGCCGUAUUCUGGGAGCCUGUGUAUGCGUGUGCUGUGUGCGCGCAGCUGUGCAGGAUGAAUCACAGACAUCAGAGAUGGAGAACACCUGUUACUGUGGGUCAUCGGCUUGGCGUGCGUCCGGUCUAGUUUCCAUUUACAGGACAGUUCUGUGCCCUUCCUCAGGAGGUCCCAUUCCUUCCUUCUUUUGGUCGGUUCUGAGUGUCAGCUGUCUACUGGGGAUCUGCUAAGGCUAAGAGGCAAAGAUAGGCAAGUCACUCCCCUGACCUCAAGAAACUCCCAGUCUACAGGCGAAGAUACACCACCCACCGGUAGAGUCGCUGGACCAGAAUAUUAGGUGUUCCAGUCAAAGUCACCCAGAUUUGCCAAAAGACCUGGCACAAAUGUCACUUCCACUAUGAAGUCCCACUGACUUCCAUAUACAAGACAAUCUGCUGGGAAUUUCUUGGGUUGACAGCUCUUGGAUCCCUAUUUUGAACAGUGGUAGUGUCCUGGAUUACUUUUCAGAAAGAAGUAAUCCUUUUUAUGACAGAACAUGUAAUAAUGAAGUGGUCAAAAUGCAGAGGCUAACAUUAGAACACUUGAAUCAGAUGGUUGGAAUCGAGUACAUCCUUUUGCAUGCUCAAGAGCCCAUUCUUUUCAUCAUUCGGAAGCAACAGCGGCAGUCCCCUGCCCAAGUUAUCCCACUAGCUGAUUACUAUAUCAUUGCUGGAGUGAUCUAUCAGGCACCAGACUUGGGAUCA
This 771-nucleotide long non-coding RNA is filed under the name Homo sapiens (human). RNAcentral's name for it is "HSALNT0377773". The record is from RNAcentral. Lineage: Eukaryota; Metazoa; Chordata; Mammalia; Primates; Hominidae.